AGAACUGAGAAAUUGUAAAAGCAAUCCUUCGCAAUUGUACUUCCUGUUCGGCCGCAAGAAAUAAUAAUAAAAAGCGUCAUUGAUCGUGAACCACAAGCAUCGUUACAGAUAAAGACCUCUUGUUAGAUUACUUUGAUCUGGAUAACGCGUGGAACUUCAGAAAGAAAUUAUCAACGCUAACGCAAGAGUGGAAAGAGACAGGAGUAAUAUCGCAAUGGAAAUCACUCGGUACACACUUCCUCGAAUCUCGAUCGGUAAACAUUCAAACAUGCGAACGCGCAAAAAUAAUGGCCUUAUAUCGAAGAAACAUGGUCGAUCGUGAUAAGCGUACAAAGUACGGAUAGUCGACGAUUCGAUACAAACACCAACGGACAAACCGUUUAAAUCAAUAUUAACAUAUAUUUAAUAUUAUUGUGGAAAAACAAUCAAACUCGACAGUGAUACACAACUAUACGAACCUGUUCUUUUUAUCGACAGUACCAAUGUUUAAAUACACGACUCGAUGUGUACCGGUUAAUUUAAAAAAUAGUUUUUUCUCCGUGAUACGAUUUAUUAUAAUUGCUAAUUUAAUAUAGAUGAUGUUGCACUUUUUAAACCAUGCGAAAUAAAUCAAACGUGAAAAA
Bombus pascuorum is the source of this 623-nucleotide long non-coding RNA. RefSeq lists it as uncharacterized. The record is from RefSeq and is a predicted model, not a curated record. Lineage: Eukaryota; Metazoa; Arthropoda; Insecta; Hymenoptera; Apidae. The transcript has 2 exons.